Molecule: non-coding RNA, 247 nt
Filed under: Pediococcus stilesii
Lineage: Bacteria; Bacillati; Bacillota; Bacilli; Lactobacillales; Lactobacillaceae
Description: T-box sequence
Rfam family: T-box leader
About the family: Uncharged tRNA acts as the effector for transcription antitermination of genes in the T-box leader family. T-boxes are found upstream of many aminoacyl-tRNA synthetase genes and some amino acid biosynthetic genes usually in Gram-positive bacteria.
Source: RNAcentral
AUGAAGACAAAAAGAGAGACGAGUAGGUUUUAACAUUCUGUCAGUGAGUUGGGAUUAGUGCGAACCCGAUCAGACCCUGUUGAUUCUGAAUAACACUUUCUUAGUUUCUAACUGAAAUAACUCAUGUUAUAGUAGGCUUAGACGUUACCGGUACGUUACCAUUCGGAGGAGUAUGUUAGUACUCUUAUUGAGGUGGCUCAUUUAUGAGCAACUGGGGUGGUACCGCGAAAAGUCUUUCGUCCCUUUA